GCAAACUUGGUCAUUUAGAGGAAGUAAAAGUCGUAACAAGGUCUCCGUUGGUGAACCAGCGGAGGGAUCAUUACAGAGUUUAUUUUUUACUCUUAACCCUUAUGCGAAUUUAUGUUAUGUUGCUUCGGCAGAUGACCCCAGGGCGGGGUUAAAAGCUUAAGUGAAAUAAAUGCUUGGCCAUCUGCCGAAGGUUUUUAAACUCUUCAAUUUUUUAAAUUCUGAAGAAAAUAUUUAAAAGAUCAAAACUUUCAGCAACGGAUCUCUUGGUUCUGGCAUCGAUGAAGAACGCAGC
This 292-nucleotide unclassified non-coding RNA is filed under the name uncultured fungus. RNAcentral's name for it is "partial contains small subunit ribosomal RNA, internal transcribed spacer 1, and 5.8S ribosomal RNA". The stretch from base 1 to 73 matches the Rfam family "Eukaryotic small subunit ribosomal RNA", at positions 1759 to 1831 of the family's 1831-position model. Lineage: Eukaryota; Fungi. The record is from RNAcentral.